UGAGUAAUACAUCGGAACGUGUCUUUUAGUGGGGGAUAACUGCCCGAAAGGGCAGCUAAUACCGCAUGAGACCUGAGGGUGAAAGCGGGGGAUCGCAAGACCUCGCGCUGGAAGAGCGGCCGAUGUCCGAUUAGCUAGUUGGUGAGGUAAAGGCUCACCAAGGCGACGAUCGGUAGCUGGUCUGAGAGGACGACCAGCCACACUGGGACUGAGACACGGCCCAG
RNAcentral lists this ribosomal RNA (224 nucleotides) under uncultured bacterium. Its description in RNAcentral is "partial 16S ribosomal RNA". It matches the Rfam family "Bacterial small subunit ribosomal RNA", at positions 107 to 334 of the family's 1533-position model. The record is from RNAcentral.